This 227-nucleotide ribosomal RNA is filed under the name uncultured bacterium. RNAcentral describes it as "partial 16S ribosomal RNA". It matches the Rfam family "Bacterial small subunit ribosomal RNA", at positions 383 to 607 of the family's 1533-position model. The record is from RNAcentral.
CUGAACCAGCCAAGUAGCGUGAAGGAUGAAGGCUCUAUGGGUCGUAAACUUCUUUUAUAUGGGAAUAAAGUUUUCCACGUGAGGAAUUUUGUAUGUACCAUAUGAAUAAGGAUCGGCUAACUCCGUGCCAGCAGCCGCGGUAAUACGGAGGAUCCGAGCGUUAUCCGGAUUUAUUGGGUUUAAAGGGAGCGUAGGCGGAUUAUUAAGUCAGUUGGGAAAGUUUGCGG